AACGAACGCUGGCGGCAGGCUUAACAAACGCAAGUCGAACGCCCCGCAAGGGGAGUGGCAGACGGGUGAGUAACGCGUGGGAACAUACCCUUUCCUGCGGAAUAGCUCCGGGAAACUGGAAUUAAUACCGCAUACGCCCUACGGGGGAAAGAUUUAUCGGGGAAGGAUUGGCCCGCGUUGGAUUAGCUAGUUGGUGGGGUAAAGGCCUACCAAGGCGACGAUCCAUAGCUGGUCUGAGAGGAUGAUCAGCCACAUUGGGACUGAGACACGGCCCAAACUCCUACGGGAGGCAGCAGUGGGGAAUAUUGGACAAUGGGCGCAAGCCUGAUCCAGCCAUGCCGCGUGAGUGAUGAAGGCCUUAGGGUUGUAAAGCUCUUUCAUCGGAGAAGAUAAUGACGGUAUCCGGAGAAGAAG
RNAcentral lists this ribosomal RNA (414 nucleotides) under uncultured bacterium. RNAcentral's name for it is "bacterial SSU rRNA". It matches the Rfam family "Bacterial small subunit ribosomal RNA", at positions 29 to 490 of the family's 1533-position model. The record is from RNAcentral.